CCUACGGGAGACAGCAGUAGGGAAUCUUCCACAAUGGGCGAAAGCCUGAUGGAGCAACGCCGCGUGGGUGAAGAAGGUCUUCGGAUCGUAAAACCCUGUUGUUAGAGAAGAAAGUGCGUGAGAGUAACUGUUCCCGUUUCGACGGUAUCUAACCAGAAAGCGACGGCUAACUACGUGCCAGCAGCCGCGGUAAUACGGAGGGGGCCAGCGUUAGCCGGAUUUGAUGGGGGUAAAGGGAACGCAGGCGGUCUUGUAAGUCUUAUGUGAAAGGCUUCGGCUUAACCGGAGUAGUGCAUUGGAAACUGGGAAACUUGAGUGCAGAAGAGGAGAGUGGAACUCCAUGUGUAGCGGUGAAAUGCGUAGAUAUAUGGAAGAACACCGGUGGCGAAAGCGGCUCUCUGGUCUGUAACUGACGCUGAGGCUCGAAAGCGUGGGGAGCAAACAGGAUUAGAUACCCGAGUAGUC
Molecule: ribosomal RNA, 465 nt
Filed under: uncultured bacterium
Lineage: Bacteria
Description: partial 16S ribosomal RNA
Rfam family: Bacterial small subunit ribosomal RNA
Source: RNAcentral